RNAcentral lists this RNase P RNA (233 nucleotides) under Citrobacter sp. RNAcentral describes it as "RNase P RNA component class A". It matches the Rfam family "Bacterial RNase P class A". Rfam says of the family: Ribonuclease P (RNase P) is a ubiquitous endoribonuclease, found in archaea, bacteria and eukarya as well as chloroplasts and mitochondria. Its best characterised activity is the generation of mature 5'-ends of tRNAs by cleaving the 5'-leader elements of precursor-tRNAs. Cellular RNase Ps are ribonucleoproteins. Lineage: Bacteria; Pseudomonadati; Pseudomonadota; Gammaproteobacteria; Enterobacterales; Enterobacteriaceae. The record is from RNAcentral.
GAAGCUGACCAGACAGUCGCCGCUUCGUCGUCGUCCUCUUCGGGGGAGACGGGCGGAGGGGAGGAAAGUCCGGGCUCCAUAGGGCAGGGUGCCAGGUAACGCCUGGGGGGGAAACCCACGACCAGUGCAACAGAGAGCAAACCGCCGAUGAGGCUGCUUGAGCCAGUGAGCGAUUGCUGGCCUAGAUGAAUGACUGUCCACGACAGAACCCGGCUUAUCGGUCAGCUUCACUC